AGAGUUUGAUCCUGGCUCAGGACGAACGCUGGCGGCGUGCUUAACACAUGCAAGUGGAGCGACGAACCGGGGCUUGCCCCGGGGCAGAGCCGCGAACGGGUGAGUAACACGUGGGUAACCUACCCCGAUGACCGGGACAACCCGAGGAAACUCGGGCUAAUACCGGAUGUGCUCCUUGACCUCGAGGUCAAGGCGUAAAGAUAGCUUCGGCCUUCGCAUCGGGACGGGCCCGCGGCCCAUUAGCUUGUUGGUGGGGUAACGGCCUACCAAGGCGACGAUGGGUAGCUGGUCUGAGAGGACGAUCAGCCACACUGGGACUGAGACACGGCCCAGACUCCUACGGGAGGCAGCAGUGGGGAAUCUUGCGCAAUGCGCGAAAGCGUGACGCAGCAACGCCGCGUGGGGGAAGACGGCCUUCGGGUUGUAAACCCCUUUCAGUUGGGACGAAGCUUCGUCGGUGAAUAGCCGGCUGGAGUGACGGUACCUUCACAAGAAGCCCCGGCUAACUACGUGCCAGCAGCCGCGGUAAUACGUAGGGGGCUAGCGUUGUCCGGAAUCAUUGGGCGUAAAGCGCGUGUAGGCGGUUCGGUAAGUCCGCUGUGAAAGUCGGGGGCUCAACCCUCGAAAGCCGGUGGAUACUGUCGGGCUAGAGUACGGAAGAGGCGAGUGGAAUUCCUGGUGUAGCGGUGAAAUGCGCAGAUAUCAGGAGGAACACCAAUUGCGAAGGCAGCUCGCUGGGACGUUACUGACGCUGAGACGCGAAAGCGUGGGGAGCAAACAGGAUUAGAUACCCCCGUAGUCC
This 802-nucleotide ribosomal RNA is filed under the name uncultured bacterium. RNAcentral's name for it is "bacterial SSU rRNA". It matches the Rfam family "Bacterial small subunit ribosomal RNA", at positions 8 to 796 of the family's 1533-position model. The record is from RNAcentral.